UAACCGUAAGUGAACCUGCGGAAGGAUCAUUGAAUAUGCAAACCACAACACGCACUCUCUACUUUGUGUACCGACGUUAGGUCAACACACGCAAGUGUGUGGCCUACUAACCCUACACACCAUUGACCAACCACUGAUCAAACCAAACUCUGAAGCUUUGGCUGCUGUUAAUCGGCAGUUUUAACAAAGAACAACUCUCAACAACGGAUAUCUUGGCUCUC
Molecule: unclassified non-coding RNA, 221 nt
Filed under: soil metagenome
Description: partial contains small subunit ribosomal RNA, internal transcribed spacer 1, and 5.8S ribosomal RNA
Source: RNAcentral